AGCGACGCAAAUAAGGCAGUGAAUAAAUUGCGUCACUCCUUUAAUAAAUGAGCGACGCAAAUAACAAAUUUUUAGCAUUUCAGAUUUUGUUAUUUGCGUCGUAUUUUUAUUAUAAAGUGACGCAAAUAACUCUGUUACACUUUAGGUUAUUCUUUUUGACCUUAGAUUUUCACGCCUACCUUUCACUAAUUCACUAAACAUAAAGAAAAAAAACAGAGUUGCAACAAAUUCAACAUCCAAAAUCGACCCUUCAAUCCAACAAAUUCGCCCAAAAAACACCCACAAAUUCGCUCAAAAAACUGCAAUUCCCCAACAAAUUCAACAUCCAAAAUCGCAAUCAAGUUCAACACUCAUAAUCGGCAGCAAAUCCGAGCAAUUUCGAGCAAAAAUUUAGACCAAAAACCCUAAUUUAUUCGAAUCCUUGAACCCCAGAAAAAUUGAUUAUUUUCGACCAAAAAUCCCCCAUUUCGAGCAAAAAAUGUACUUAAUUCCAUACGAAUUCGAACCCUAGAAACCCCAAAAAAUUCAAUUAAAAAUCCUGCUGAAAAAAUUCGAGCAAUAACUGAAAUUUUCGAGUGGAAAAAUCGCUGAAUUUUCGCCCCCAAAAACCCGAGGAAGUUCAAGCAAAUUACAGCAAUGUUGAAUUUUUGAAUUUUCGAGUAGAAAAAUCGCUUAAUUUCGCCCCCAAAAAUCGAUUUCGGCUCGACAUUGUUGAAUUUUUUAAAUCAAGUUCACCUAUGGGACUGUUUUCCGUGAGCCAAUCUUGUGUAAGAACAUUCCUAGGAUUGUUUCUGACAUGCUUUUGGUGAUCAAUAUCGAGCCACUGAUACACUCAUCCCAGGUCUUGGAAAGCUUAAAUUGCUAUUCGGUAUGAAUUUAG
This is a long non-coding RNA of Chenopodium quinoa (quinoa), 880 nucleotides long. RefSeq lists it as uncharacterized. The record is from RefSeq and is a predicted model, not a curated record. NCBI's taxonomy places the organism in Eukaryota, Viridiplantae, Streptophyta, Magnoliopsida, Caryophyllales, Amaranthaceae. The transcript has 3 exons.